Molecule: ribosomal RNA, 588 nt
Filed under: uncultured bacterium
Lineage: Bacteria
Description: partial 16S ribosomal RNA
Rfam family: Bacterial small subunit ribosomal RNA
Source: RNAcentral
UGGGGAAUUUUGGACAAUGGGCGAAAGCCUGAUCCAGCAAUGCCGCGUGUGUGAAGAAGGCCUUCGGGUUGUAAAGCACUUUUGUCCGGAAAGAAAUCCUUGGCUCUAAUACAGUCGGGGGAUGACGGUACCGGAAGAAUAAGCACCGGCUAACUACGUGCCAGCAGCCGCGGUAAUACGUAGGGUGCAAGCGUUAAUCGGAAUUACUGGGCGUAAAGCGUGCGCAGGCGGUUUGCUAAGACCGAUGUGAAAUCCCCGGGCUCAACCUGGGAACUGCAUUGGUGACUGGGCAGGCUAGAGUAUGGCAGAGGGGGGUAGAAUUCCACGUGUAGCAGUGAAAUGCGUAGAGAUGUGGAGGAAUACCGAUGGCGAAGGCAGCCCCCUGGGCCAAUACUGACGCUCAUGCACGAAAGCGUGGGGAGCAAACAGGAUUAGAUACCCUGGUAGUCCACGCCCUAAAACGAUGUCAACUAGUUAUUGGGGAUUCAUUUCCUUAGUAACGUAGCUAACGCGUGAAGUUGACCGCCUGGGGAGUACGGUCGCAAGAUUAAAACUCAAAUGGAAUUGACGGGGUCAUAGCUGUUUCCU